UACGAAGGGGGCUAGCGUUGUUCGGAAUUACUGGGCGUAAAGCGCACGUAGGCGGACUUUUAAGUCAGGUGUGAAAUCCCGGGGCUCAACCUCGGAACUGCAUUUGAAACUGGAAGUCUUGAGAUCAGGAGAGGUUAGCGGAAUACCGAGUGUAGAGGUGAAAUUCGUAGAUAUUCGGUGGAACACCAGUGGCGAAGGCGGCUAACUGGACUGAUACUGACGCUGAGGUGCGAAAGUGUGGGGAGCAAACAGG
RNAcentral lists this ribosomal RNA (253 nucleotides) under uncultured bacterium. RNAcentral describes it as "partial 16S ribosomal RNA". It matches the Rfam family "Bacterial small subunit ribosomal RNA", at positions 524 to 776 of the family's 1533-position model. The record is from RNAcentral.